RNAcentral lists this microRNA (22 nucleotides) under Homo sapiens (human). Its description in RNAcentral is "Hsa-Mir-1913_5p (mature (co-guide))". The record is from RNAcentral. Lineage: Eukaryota; Metazoa; Chordata; Mammalia; Primates; Hominidae.
CCGGCAGAGGAGGCUGCAGAGG